AAAAGUCGUAACAAGGUCUCCGUUGGUGAACCAGCGGAGGGAUCAUUAUCGAGUUUACAACUCCCAAACCCCUGUGAACAUACCUAUCGUUGCUUCGGCGGGAUCGCCCCGGCGCCCUCGGGCCCGGACCCAGGCGCCCGCCGGAGGACCCAAACUCUUGUUUUUAUCUAGUAUCUUCUGAGUAAACAAGCAAAUAAAUUAAAACUUUCAACAACGGAUCUCUUGGUUCUG
RNAcentral lists this unclassified non-coding RNA (231 nucleotides) under Cosmospora sp. RNAcentral describes it as "partial internal transcribed spacer region". The stretch from base 1 to 48 matches the Rfam family "Eukaryotic small subunit ribosomal RNA", at positions 1784 to 1831 of the family's 1831-position model. Lineage: Eukaryota; Fungi; Ascomycota; Sordariomycetes; Hypocreales; Nectriaceae. The record is from RNAcentral.